GCAGUGUAGAAGUGCCCUCUAACAAUUAUCUACCCCUAUCAGUCUUUUAAUAAGGACCCUUUUCUUCCUAUAAAUAGAGACUACUGGGAGACUAUUAUUAGUCAUCUCUUAACUUCUCCCUCUUUCUUUCUGUGUGUGUCUCUCUCUUUCCAAACUCAUGUUCUCUUUCAUUUCAAAGAAAAUUUUAACUUUCAAUUACAUGAUACUCUAAUCAAAGUCUGAAGCUGUAGGUAGAAUAAAGCUAUAGAAUAUCAGGGAGAGAGGAGAGCACUGGUGGUGAUAUUGUUGACAGAAGAUAGAGAGCACAGAUGAUGAUGUGCAAUUAAUGGACUGCGCUUCUCACUCCUUUGUGCUCUCUAUGCUUCUGUCAUCGCCUACAACCCCUCUCACCCUUUCUUUUUCUUCUUCUUUAAUUUCUUGCUUACCUUUUUUUUUAUUAUGACAAAAAAAAAAGUGUUCAUUUAUGUUUCUCAUUAUCCACAUGAUUUUUUUCUUUGCUUUAUAUUCUUGUCCCUGUUUUAAUUAGUUCAGAUCAUAAGGAUGAUUCUUGAUGAUGGUAAAAUGAAAGGCAGGCUAAGCGAAGACAGCAGUUGUUUGGUAAAUCGGUAGGCCAUCAAUGGGUUGGCUAAGUUGAAAUCCAAAUAGCUUUCUUGCUUUUCACAAGAAGAAAUGAAUCUGACAAGAUUCUAAUGCUAUGCAUAUGCUUAUUAGAUAUAUUAGAAUCAAAGUGAUUCCUAAAAGCAGGAGGCACCGCAAUUGCUUUGUGGGAGAAGGGCUGUCUCUAAAUUAUUGGAGUUAUUCAUUAAGCGAAUGUGUAAUAAAGCUAGACAAAAAAAUAAUGAUAAUAACACUCCAAAUUCCCUAUAUAAUUCUAGAACUUAAUUUCUAGCUAGAUUGAACACUUCUUCGAAUAGGCUUAACAAGAAAAUUAUUUUAUUUGGGUGGGUGUAUAUACGCCUAAUUAAUAAAAAUUUAAUAAAUAAUAAUUUUUAUCGGCUAAUCAUGUUUUUGACGGGACCCACCAUACAUCCAAGAGUAGAUAAGACUUACUUGGCUUAAUAUUGAGAUAAGAAUAUGCCCAUAAUAGUUUGAUCAAAAGAAUCCUCAUGGGUAGAAAUGUUCCUUCAAAUUACUUUUCUUAGUUGCCUCAAACUCUUUUUUCCAAUGUUAAUUAAGAUUUUAAGAGUGAGUUUUCACAUCUGUUUAAUUACCUUGACUUGUAAAGCUUGAUAUUAUAUUUAAAUAUAUGUAAAAUUCUUGUCUAAACUCAGUCCAUCAUGAAUUCAAGACACAAUAUAUAGAAGAGUUCUAGAUCAGUCUUUGCUUGAUACAUCAACAUCUCUUUACGUGUGUUUCUAUAGCACUUGCAUUUAUUUCUUGAAUGAAAAAAAAAAUUUUCCUGAUUCAAGAGAAAUGAGGAAAGCUACUGCCGGCCAGCUGGGACAUGGCAACAGGAUAGGAAAUUCUUGAAGCAAAACUAAUUCUUAGGGCUGAUGAGAAAAUUUGCUGAAAUAGGUUAUUGGAGAUGCUGAUAAAAUCUCAGUUUGUUCAGAAAAUAAUUUGCAUAAUGAGGCAGCAGAAAUUUUAACUACUACUCUGUCAUUAGCAACAAAUUGAUGUUCUUAUUGUCAAAAGAUCAAGUUCAUUUACAAAACGGGAAUCGAUAUAUACAUUUCAUGUACUUUGGAUGUAGUGAUUUGAAACAAGAGACCUGUAUAUUUGUUUUAGUUUAAGUUGUUUGAAAUGAAAGCUGAUUCAUAGUUUAAUGUUAA
Hevea brasiliensis (rubber tree) is the source of this 1772-nucleotide long non-coding RNA. RefSeq lists it as uncharacterized. Lineage: Eukaryota; Viridiplantae; Streptophyta; Magnoliopsida; Malpighiales; Euphorbiaceae. The transcript has 2 exons. The record is from RefSeq and is a predicted model, not a curated record.